UGGGGAAUAUUGCACAAUGGGGGGAACCCUGAUGCAGCGACGCCGCGUGAGCGAAGAAGUAUUUCGGUAUGUAAAGCUCUAUCAGCAGGGAAGAAGAUGACGGUACCUGAGUAAGAAGCUCCGGCUAAAUACGUGCCAGCAGCCGCGGUAAUACGUAUGGAGCAAGCGUUAUCCGGAUUUACUGGGUGUAAAGGGAGCGCAGGCGGCCUGGCAAGUCUGAUGUGAAAUACCGGGGCUCAACCCCGGGGCUGCAUUGGAAACUGUGGGGCUGGAGUGUCGGAGAGGCAGGCGGAAUUCCUAGUGUAGCGGUGAAAUGCGUAGAUAUUAGGAGGAACACCAGUGGCGAAGGCGGCCUGCUGGACGGUGACUGACGCUGAGGCUCGAAAGCGUGGGGAGCAAACAGGAUUAGAUACCCC
This 416-nucleotide ribosomal RNA is filed under the name uncultured bacterium. RNAcentral's name for it is "bacterial SSU rRNA". It matches the Rfam family "Bacterial small subunit ribosomal RNA", at positions 355 to 788 of the family's 1533-position model. The record is from RNAcentral.